CCUACGGUGCGCAGCAGUGGGGAAUAUUGGACAAUGGGCGAAAGCCUGAUCCAGCCAUGCCGCGUGUGUGAAGAAGGCCUUCGGGUUGUAAAGCACUUUCAGUGGGGAAGAAAGCCUUGGGGCUAAUACCCUCGAGGAAGGACAUCACCCACAGAAGAAGCACCGGCUAACUCCUUGCCAGCAGCCGCGGUAAUACGGAGGGGUGCGAGGUUAAUCGGAAUUACUGGGCGUAAAGCGCGCGUAGGCGGUCUGAUAAGCCGGUUGUGAAAGCCCCGGGCUCAACCUGGGAACGGCAUCCGGAACUGUGAGGCUAGAGUGCAGGAGAGGAAGGUAGAAUUCCCGGUGUAGCGGUGAAAUGCGUAGAGAUCGGGAGGAAUACCAGUGGCGAAGGCGGCCUUCUGGACUGACACUGACGCUGAGGUGCGAAAGCGUGGGUAGCAAACAGGAUUAGAUACCCGGGUAGUC
RNAcentral lists this ribosomal RNA (465 nucleotides) under Vreelandella stevensii. Its description in RNAcentral is "partial 16S ribosomal RNA". It matches the Rfam family "Bacterial small subunit ribosomal RNA", at positions 338 to 795 of the family's 1533-position model. The record is from RNAcentral. Lineage: Bacteria; Pseudomonadati; Pseudomonadota; Gammaproteobacteria; Oceanospirillales; Halomonadaceae.